RNAcentral lists this ribosomal RNA (497 nucleotides) under uncultured bacterium. RNAcentral's name for it is "partial 16S ribosomal RNA". It matches the Rfam family "Bacterial small subunit ribosomal RNA", at positions 28 to 507 of the family's 1533-position model. The record is from RNAcentral.
GAUGAACGCUGGCGGCGUGCCUAAUACAUGCAAGUCGAACGAACAGACGAUGAUCUUGCGCCUCGCACGUUAGCCGCAGACGUGAGAGUAACAUGUGUAUAACCUACCUAUCAUUCUGGUAUCACUUCGGGACACCGGAUCUAAUACCGUAUAAUAUCUUGAACCGCGUUGGUCAAUGGUGAGAGACGGUUUUUCUGGCUCUUAUAGAUGCAUCCGCGCCGUAUGAGCUAGUUGUUAAGGUAACGGCUUACCAAGGCUAGGAGGCGUGGCCGAAGUGAGAGGGUGAUAGGCCACCCGGGAACUGAGACAGGGUCAAGACGACUACGGGAGGCAGCAGUAGGGAACCUUACGCAAUGGGCGAAAGCAUGACGGAGCAAGGGCGCGUGAGUGAUGAAGGUGUUCGGAUCGUAAAACUCUGUUAUUAGGGAAGAACAACUGUGUAAGUAAAUAUGCACGUCUUGACGGUACCUAAUCAGAAAGCAACGGCUAACUACGUG